ACGGGAGGCAGCAGUGGGGAAUAUUGGGCAAUGGGGGAAACCCUGACCCAGCAACGCCGCGUGAGGGAAGAAGGUUUUCGGAUCGUAAACCUCUGUCCUUGGUGAAGAGCAAGAGACGGUAACCAGGGAGGAAGCCCCGGCUAACUACGUGCCAGCAGCCGCGGUAAUACGUAGGGGGCAAGCGUUGUCCGGAAUGAUUGGGCGUAAAGGGCGCGUAGGCGGCUGUCUAAGUCUGGAGUGAAAUUCCCGCUUUUAAGGUGGGAACUGCUUUGGAUACUGGUCAGCUUGAGUGCAGGAGAGGUUAGUGGAAUUCCCAGUGUAGCGGUGAAAUGCGUAGAGAUUGGGAGGAACACCAGUGGCGAAGGCGACUAACUGGACUGUAACUGACGCUGAGGCGCGAAAGUGUGGGGAGCAAACAGGAUUAGAUACCCUGGUA
This 436-nucleotide ribosomal RNA is filed under the name uncultured bacterium. RNAcentral describes it as "partial 16S ribosomal RNA". It matches the Rfam family "Bacterial small subunit ribosomal RNA", at positions 341 to 792 of the family's 1533-position model. The record is from RNAcentral.